AACGCCGUCGUUUUAGUUUCAUCCAAUUUAUUCCCAGUGCUCCCGAUAGCUGUUCUUUUUCCCCUUAACAAAAUUUCCCUCAUUCCAUCUCUUCUCCUUUAAUCCCUAAAUUUUCAUCCCCAAGUUCCCAACCCAUUAGCCACCGAAGACGCCGACCGGACCACCUGGUGCAUCGCCCUCGACUAACCUCUCUGCUGCGUCACCGUCGCCUGCUCAUCCUGCUCAGAAACGAGAUUAUAUUUUUCACAACGGUAAAUUAAAUGGGAAGCGCCAUGUACGACCUUACUACUUUGAGUUCGUCUCUCAUGUUAAUAAACGAUGGGAAGGUAAAACAAUAGUGGAUUUGUUCGCUCAAGAGUUCAGAGGUCGAUCUAGAGAUUACUAUAUUAUUUUUCUAGAAACAAUAUGCAACGAUGAAAGGAUUAUUGAAAGAAAUAUUCGCCUUAAAAUUCGACAAAGUCCUGACUAUGCAGAAGAUUUUGCAGGCCAGAUUUCGAUUAUAUCACCUGUUUCAAGUUGACUGAAGUCAACUAUCUAGUAUAAAUACUCAACCAUUCAAAUCUUGUGAAGCUCAUUGGAUACUGUUGUGAGGAUGAGCAUCGAUUGCUUGUCUAUGAAUACAUGGCAAGUGGAAGCCUUGAAAAGCACCUUUUCCGCAUGCAGUUUUGCCAGAUUUUGCUGAGGUGUACAGCUU
Molecule: long non-coding RNA, 694 nt
Organism: Gossypium arboreum
Lineage: Eukaryota; Viridiplantae; Streptophyta; Magnoliopsida; Malvales; Malvaceae
Exons: 6
Source: RefSeq, a predicted model, not a curated record